UACGUAGGGGGCUAGCGUUGUCCGGAAUCAUUGGGCGUAAAGCGCGUGUAGGCGGUUCGGUAAGUCCGCUGUGAAAGUCGGGGGCUCAACCCUCGGAUGCCGGUGGAUACUGUCAGACUAGAGUACGGAAGAGGCGAGUGGAAUUCCUGGUGUAGCGGUGAAAUGCGCAGAUAUCAGGAGGAACACCGAUUGCGAAGGCAGCUCGCUGGGACGUUACUGACGCUGAGACGCGAAAGCGUGGGGAGCAAACAGG
RNAcentral lists this ribosomal RNA (253 nucleotides) under uncultured bacterium. RNAcentral's name for it is "partial 16S ribosomal RNA". It matches the Rfam family "Bacterial small subunit ribosomal RNA", at positions 524 to 776 of the family's 1533-position model. The record is from RNAcentral.